This 737-nucleotide ribosomal RNA is filed under the name uncultured bacterium. RNAcentral's name for it is "bacterial SSU rRNA". It matches the Rfam family "Bacterial small subunit ribosomal RNA", at positions 8 to 790 of the family's 1533-position model. The record is from RNAcentral.
GGAGAGUUUGAUCAUGGCUCAGAACGAACGCUGGCGGCAGGCCUAACACAUGCAAGUCGAGCGCGCCUUCGGGUGAGCGGCGGACGGGUUAGUAACGCGUGGGAACGUGCCCUUCUCUACGGAAUAGCCUCUGGAAACGGAGAGUAAUACCGUAUACGCCCUUUGGGGGAAAGAUUUAUCGGAGAAGGAUCGGCCCGCGUUAGAUUAGGUAGUUGGUGGGGUAACGGCCUACCAAGCCUACGAUCUAUAGCUGGUUUUAGAGGAUGAUCAGCAACACUGGGACUGAGACACGGCCCAGACUCCUACGGGAGGCAGCAGUGGGGAAUCUUAGACAAUGGGGGCAACCCUGAUCUAGCCAUGCCGCGUGAGUGAUGAAGGCCUUAGGGUCGUAAAGCUCUUUCGCCUGUGAUGAUAAUGACAGUAGCAGGUAAAGAAACCCCGGCUAACUCCGUGCCAGCAGCCGCGGUAAUACGGAGGGGGUUAGCGUUGUUCGGAAUUACUGGGCGUAAAGCGCGCGUAGGCGGAUUAGAAAGUUGGGGGUGAAAUCCCGGGGCUCAACCCCGGAACUGCCUCCAAAACUGCUAGUCUAGAGUUCGAGAGAGGUGAGUGGAAUUCCGAGUGUAGAGGUGAUAUUCGUAGAUAUUCGGAUUUACACCAAGUGGCGAAGGCGGCUCACUGGCUCGAUACUGACGCUGAGGUGCGAAAGUGUGGGGUGUGUACAGGUUUGGGUACCCUGG